RNAcentral lists this transfer RNA (81 nucleotides) under Dactylellina haptotyla CBS 200.50. Its description in RNAcentral is "tRNA-Ser (CGA) (tRNA-Ser-CGA-1-1)". It matches the Rfam family "tRNA". From Rfam's summary of the family: Transfer RNA (tRNA) molecules are approximately 80 nucleotides in length. Their secondary structure includes four short double-helical elements and three loops (D, anti-codon, and T loops). The record is from RNAcentral. Lineage: Eukaryota; Fungi; Ascomycota; Orbiliomycetes; Orbiliales; Orbiliaceae.
GUCAGCGUGGCCGAGUGGUUAAGGCGUUUGACUCGAAAUCAAAUGGGUUCGCCCGCACAGGUUCGAAUCCUGUCGCUGACG